GUGGGGAAUCUUCCGCAAUGGACGAAAGUCUGACGGAGCAACGCCGCGUGAGUGAAGAAGGGUUUCGGCUCGUAAAGCUCUGUUGUCGGGGACGAAUGUGCAGUAUUUGAAUAAAGUAGUGCAAUGACGGUACCUGACGAGGAAGCCACGGCUAACUACGUGCCAGCAGCCGCGGUAAUACGUAGGUGGCAAGCGUUGUCCGGAAUUAUUGGGCGUAAAGGGAGCGCAGGCGGGAAGGUAAGUCGGUCUUAAAAGUGCGGGGCUCAACCCCGUGAUGGGAUCGAAACUAUCUUUCUUGAGUGCAGGAGAGGAAAGUGGAAUUCCUAGUGUAGCGGUGAAAUGCGUAGAUAUUAGGAGGAACACCAGUGGCGAAGGCGACUUUCUGGACUGUAACUGACGCUGAGGCUCGAAAGCCAGGGGAGCGAACGGGAUUAGAUACCCCAGUAGUCC
This 450-nucleotide ribosomal RNA is filed under the name uncultured bacterium. Its description in RNAcentral is "partial 16S ribosomal RNA". It matches the Rfam family "Bacterial small subunit ribosomal RNA", at positions 354 to 796 of the family's 1533-position model. The record is from RNAcentral.